Molecule: ribosomal RNA, 480 nt
Filed under: uncultured bacterium
Lineage: Bacteria
Description: bacterial SSU rRNA
Rfam family: Bacterial small subunit ribosomal RNA
Source: RNAcentral
UUGAACGCUGGCGGCAUGCUUUACACAUGCAAGUCGAACGGUAACAGGCCUUCGGGUGCUGACGAGUGGCGAACGGGUGAGUAAUACAUCGGAACGUACCCAGUCGUGGGGGAUAACCUACCGAAAGGUAGGCUAAUACCGCAUACGACCUGAGGGUGAAAGCGGGGGAUCGCAAGACCUCGCGCGAUUGGAGCGGCCGAUGUCGGAUUAGCUAGUUGGUGGGGUAAAGGCCCACCAAGGCGACGAUCCGUAGCUGGUCUGAGAGGAUGAUCAGCCACACUGGGACUGAGACACGGCCCAGACUCCUACGGGAGGCAGCAGUGGGGAAUUUUGGACAAUGGGGGAAACCCUGAUCCAGCCAUUCCGCGUGAGUGAAGAAGGCCUUCGGGUUGUAAAGCUCUUUCGGCAGGGAAGAAACGGCAGGCUCUAACAUAGCCUGCUAAUGACGGUACCUGAAGAAGAAGCACCGGCUAACUACGU